ACGGAAGGCAGCAUUGGGGAAUAUUGGGCAAUGGGCGAAAGCCCGACCCAGCAACGCCGCGUGAAGGAAGAAGGUUUUCGGAUUGUAAACUUCUUUUAUCAGGGACGAAGAAAGUGACGGUACCUGAUGAAUAAGCCACGGCUAACUACGUGCCAGCAGCCGCGGUAAUACGUAGGUGGCAAGCGUUAUCCGGAUUUACUGGGUGUAAAGGGCGCGUAGGCGGGGAUGCAAGUCAGGUGUGAAAUCUAUGGGCUUAACCCAUAAACUGCAGUUGAAACUGUAUCUCUUGAGUGUCGGAGAGGUAGACGGAAUUCCUAGUGUAGCGGUGAAAUGCGUAGAUAUUAGGAGGAACACCAGUGGCGAAGGCGGUCUACUGGACGAUAACUGACGCUGAGGCGCGAAAGCGUGGGGAGCAAACAGGAUUAGAUACCCUGGUA
Molecule: ribosomal RNA, 437 nt
Filed under: uncultured Oscillospiraceae bacterium
Lineage: Bacteria; Bacillati; Bacillota; Clostridia; Eubacteriales; Oscillospiraceae
Description: partial 16S ribosomal RNA
Rfam family: Bacterial small subunit ribosomal RNA
Source: RNAcentral